UGUCCACCUUCCUGUAUGCUAGAUACCUGACAUACCAACCGUUAAACUCAACAUAAAGUAUAUCAGUGACACUAAACGGCAUCGAGUGAGUUAAAAAUCAAACGUAGAAACCGUGUUUUAGGUGUAAAAUGAUAAUUAGCACUGUAGCGGCCUGAGGUUCGUAGCUAACGCUAGCUUACUGAUAUGCUGUGCUAACCUGAGCUAACAGGAUUAGCUCCAGGACUGAACACACUCCGAGGGGGGUUGGAUGGACGUGACGCCCAGUCCGAGGUCCAUUAAGCCGGGAGAGGUGUAAAGGAUGCUCCAGGGCCCGUACAGCAGUCUGGACCGGGACCGGCCUCUGAUCCGGGUGCCAUUCCCCUACCUUGUCCUCUUGGCGCUGCUGCUCGCUUUGACCGGCUUCAUCGCCUGCGUCUUCAUCUCACUGGUGUAUCACCCCGAGGAGUCGACGUUCACACACUGCAGAGUAUCAAACUACCUCCCGUCCAUCAGCGCCGCCAUCAGCCAGGUGCCCGAGCGUUACAUCUGGCGCUGCUGUAUAGGCCUGCACUCGGCGCCACGCUACCUUAUUACCUUCACCUACUUCAGCUUCUACCGCCGCCGCUUCGAGAAGCUGCCGGAGCGUCUGCUGACCGGUCUGACACUCCUCUGCAGCCUGGCAGAAAACUCCGGCCUGCUGCUGCUCACAUCCGUGGCAUCCACCGAGACUUAUAGUGUUCACAAAAACGCCUUUAUCGUGUUCAUCGCUAGCUCGCUGCUGCACAUGCUCAUUACCUGCAGACUGUGGCAGGUGAUCAAGAGACACUACAUCAACCCAGAGGAAGUGACAUCAUAUCACUGGAAGCUGCGUAUCUUCCUGUUCAACAUCAGCUGUUGUGCUGUGGCAGCGUACUUCUUCAGACGCCACAACAAGUACUGCGAGGAGGGAGUCUAUACGCUGUUCGCCUUCUUUGAGUACAUGGUGGUCCUCUCCAACAUGGCCUUCCACCUGACCGCCUUCUGGGACUUUGGGAACAAAGAGAUGAUGGUGGCCACGCCCCCUGAAGACAAGAGAUACUGAUCUGUGGACGUUUUUAAAGAAUGGUGAAACAAUAAAGACGCUAGGAGACAUGGGGACGUUUUUACUGAAGGCGUCAUGGACUCUGUGAGAGAACUGAUGCCUGCAGUCGUCACUGCAGCGGAGAUUAAACUCGCCAUCAUUCCAAACGUGGCCCAUUAUCACCAUGAACUAGUGUGUGAUGGUGCUAGUUUCACCAGGGGCCUGACGGUGGGGAUCUGCAGCCAGACUGUAGCCUCUAAACGUACAUUUGUCACAGAUCUGUUUCAACCAGGUCAUCUUUAUGUGCAGAAACAGCCAUGGAUGAUGUUUAAAAAUAUUUUAUUAACAGCGUUAACACUGGUCGUGAUGUUUCAACUCUUCUAAAGCUGCGGUUCUCAACCUUUUCAGCCUGAGACCUCCAAAAUAAAGGUGCCAGAGACCAGGGACCCCCACUGGACCUGAAGGUGGUUGAACAGCCAGGAACAUUCAAGAAUAAUCAAGGCUGCCCAUAAGGAGGGAUAAAAGGGGAGAUUUCUGGCACCCAACCAAACUGGGGGCCAAUGGAGAUCAGACCGUCCUCACACACUGAGUGGGCGUGCAAGAAGGAGACUAGUGAGAGAGGACACCAAGACACCUAUGACUACUCUGAAGGAGCUCCAAGCUUCAGCAGGAAGCUGUUGCUGUAAAGAUCACGCCGGAACGGCCUGAAGUGUCGCUGCCGUGGAGCUGAAGAAACAGAAUUCCUGACAUGUCAUUGGAGGAUUUGAACAGGAAGUGGACUUCUGGAACUAGAGCUGCUGGAACUGUGGGCCGUCAGCGCUGAGCUCUUUAUCUAAAUCUCUUUAUCUCUCCUCACAGUUAAGUUCAGAUGAUGGUGUUGGAGGGACGCUCAUAUUUAUUUCUAUAAUGCAAAGGAUAUCUUUUCUAUGGUGGCCUUGAAGGACAUUUGUGCCACUUUUUCCCAGCCUUUUACUGUUUUAACGUGUAAAAAAAUCACAGAUCCAGUGAAUGAACAGAAAUGUGUUUUUACAUGUUUGAUGCUGCUUCAA
RNA transcript from Cheilinus undulatus (humphead wrasse), 2088 nucleotides. It is a transcript of the gene named post-GPI attachment to proteins 2, with no coding region annotated. The transcript is spliced from 7 exons. Lineage: Eukaryota; Metazoa; Chordata; Actinopteri; Labriformes; Labridae. The record is from RefSeq and is a predicted model, not a curated record.